GCUCAUAAAAAUCUGCACCAGCAGAGGUGACCACUGUCACUGUCACCACUGCAGAAACACACCAUCCACCACCUCACUGUGCUCACAUCCACUGUUCAGUCUCCAGAAGAAAUCAGCAAUUGCUGAUGAAUGUCAGUGGGUACCAUUUUUUCCUCAUGGAGGAAUUCAAUUCCACACCUUUGCUCCAUACGCACUUCCAUGUCAGAUGCCAUAUUGUCAUACUGCUAUCUGCCACAGGGCAACAAAAUGUAACAGGAUAUUGGUGGAGUCCAACCUUUUUCUCAUCCCACCAACAUCUACCUCUGACAUCAUGGGCUGACAUAACAAAAUAGGAGGCAUUACUUUUGGAGCACGGGGGCAUUCAAGAGGCACCUUUAUCCUUUCAGCAAGGAUAAAGAACAUCUCUCUGCCACUUGUGCAUUUGAGGCAAAUACAACACAGCAAAGUAGCAAAUCUAAGUGGAGGAGCAAUGUGCACCCAUAGAGGAGUUUUUAAAGAGCAGGGGACAGAAACACUAAAGUUAGUAGUAAUUAUAGGAUCUCCUAAAAAAAUAGCUUGGUAUCCUCCAUGAUUAGAUGACAUCCUAAUGAUGUAUUAUUAAUAAUAAUAACAAUAACAAUAUAACAAUAAUUUUAUUGUUACUAUUAAUAAUAAAAUUAUUAAACAGGGCACUGGGAAUUGUAGACCAGCAAUUCCUUGCUUGAGAAGGAGUAGCUAAAGCAGUAUCACAUGUCAGUAUAUGCUAGGUUGAAAGCAACAUACUUUCUGCAAGGAAAGAUCGUGUUUUCCAGGUAAUCUGCCCAAACCUUUUAACCUGCUGGCAAAUGACAGGGUGCAGAGAAUUGGGGGAUUUUUAUUUGGAUAAAUAUGGAUAAAUGUCAUGGAUGCCUUCUUUUGUACAGCUGAUAUUGAUCAGCUCAGGGUAGAAGGUAGCUUAGUCUGAGCUAGAAAUGGAAAGUUUUCUGGGCUUGGAGGCAGGGGUACUUCUUGAGUAGAUCUGCAGACUUUGAGCAAGUGAGUUUCCUCUGGGAAGCAGUGAUUUGUCAGAACCGGAGUUGCAGGGUGGAAAAGAGUUGAUUUUCUCUGGACUUAUCUGGUGAGCACAUCUAGGUCAAAGUCUGGUUGGACAAAGACACAAGCGCAGAAUACUUGGCAUCACGACAUCUAGAUUCCUCCUGUGAUGUGGCAGCCCCAGUUCAAAUCCUGACGCUGAGCUCAGGCUGCCACAUCCCAUAGUAUGCCUCAGCAACCAAUGAGUCCGGAUGUAUUCAGCUUUUUUUGUUUGUUUGUUUGUUUAACCAAACCAAGCAAAAAACCUAAAAGUUGUUAGUUUUGGUAGUGGGCAGAAAGGGAAGGUAUAGGGAGAAAAGCCUACCCUUCUUUCCAGGUCUCAUCUAGCUCUGUUUGAGGCUGCCCACACACAUGCUUCCUUCCCAAAGGACCCAGCAGGUGAGCUGCUGUGAGCAGGAGCAACCCUUUGCUGCUGUAGUUCAGUCUAAGGCUUCUUAAAUGUCUGAACGUCCCAACGUUCCCCUGGCUCAGAGGAGCACGACAAAGCUGGGUGUGGGCAGUCUGCAGUGGCAGGGAAUGGCCUCUGCUAGGAGAGGCAAUAGAUUGAGAGAAAAAAUGUCAUUGAUGCUCCGGAAAUGUUGCUAGGCUUUAAAGGACUUGUCAUUCAAGAGGAGGAGUAUCUUCCCCUCAGCAUCUGAUUUUGCGUAGAAUAACUAAAUGAACUGACGGUGCCAUAGAAAUUAACUGUGUAUUACAGAGUUAGGUGCUAAUGUCUUAGAGGCUGCUGUGUUUGAACUCACAUGUAAUACCGUUCAUUACGUUCCCAAGUUGUUCCUCUGCUGUUUUCCCUUGGUAAGCUGGCCACUGUCACUGACACAACCUUUGUCCCCCUCCUGAGAAAUACCAAUUCCAUUAUGUUACUCAACUCUAGUGAAAUUGUAUCAGCUGACUUUGAAGUACACAGUAUAAAAACGUUGUGGUAUGCUUGCAUGGUAGCUAUUUGAUGUAAGAAAAUGCAAAAUCUCUUGUGCUCUCUCUUUAGGAAUUUGGGCUUUGAGUUCCACUGGGGAGUGCUGUGUGUACCCAACUGCAUGGGGUCAGGGCCACCUUUUUUAAAAACAUGUUUCACAUCUGAGGUUAGAAAUGUUUCAGAAGACAAAUCAGCAGAAAAGCUGUCUGUUCUUGGCUCAGAUGAUAGUAGUGACUUGUACUAAAGAUUGUCCUUCCACUUAGAAAAUUGCACGGCUGCUUCUGUUUUAACUUCUGUCAGAGGUCUGGCAUCUUGGUACAGGUAUUUUUUUCUAAAUGUACUGAGUAUAGUUGCCUUUAAAUCCUCUUAGGUACAUACAGUUAUCAUUGAUAUUCUGUAAAUUAGCUCUCUACUAGCAUUCACAUUGGACUAGGCCUAAUAUUCUGAAUGUCAAAGAUAAAAAAUGGAAAUGAACUUAUACCCUUUUAUGUUCUGCCCAGGGUAGUUGUGGGUUGGUUUGUCUGUAGAAGUACUAGCAGUGUACGUUGGUCUUCCCUGUUUUAACUUGCGGUGAUUCUCUGUGGGAGAGCCCAAAUGUGUGGGCUGGAAGCCCACUCUGCUUUCAGUUGAAAGUUAUGAACUGAAAGAUACAGGCUUAAAUCUAUUUUUCCACGCUUUGGUGACACCGAGGUAUUAUAGUGAUGAAGUUCUUGGAAAUACUUGGAUAAACUGGGCUGUAUCACAGAGAUAAUGCAUCUUUUCCAUUCUUUUCUUUUGCUGUCGAUCAAGUAUCUGAGCUUUUUUUGCCAUGUAAAUUGUUUAACUGUUUGAGUAAAAAUUACUCCACUAUCUGUCAGAUACUACCCCUUCUCAUCCCAUAAAUCCAUUUAGGCUUGAUUAUUUGUAGUCUUCCAGGAAAGGUUGACAGCGUGCAUUCCCAAAGCCAACACCAACAACUUCCCAAUGAGGGAAGGAAACCCAUCUGUAAAGGCAGCGCUCCCCAGGCACCCACGGCUCCCUGCUCCAGGUGCUCUCAGGCCCCAGCAGGGCAGGGCUGUGGGACAGGCUGGGCCGCAGCGGGGUGGAAUGAUGGCCUUGUCCCAUAGCUGUGCCCCAUUUGGGCAGAAAGCACACAGCUUUGGGUGCGGGUGCUGGGCGGCCGCUGGCAGGCUCUGCACUGGGCACAGGCAGCCUGGGGUGCUGCGGUGCCAUGCACCAGCCUGGCACUGCAGGACGCUCAGCAUGCUCCCUACCUUUGGGUCCCAGGAAAGGGAAAUUGGAACUUUUUCGGGUCAAGAAAACUCAGUGAGAGUGACACCAAGUCCCUGGAGAGCGGUGUUUUUUUCCCGCAGUAGUGCCGGCUGCUCACAUUUGCUUCUUUUCAGCCAUUGCCCAUGGUUUGGUUUUGCUGGGUUCUUAGCCAUCUUGAUCUCAUGUUUGCAAAUAUUAUUGGUAAUAUAAUGCUAUAUGUACAAAUGUCUGUGUGGCUCGUGUAUGUUUCUGUGGUUCAAAUCAGCCACAGAAUUCUGGAAUUUCAUUGUACUUUGGUUAAAUGUUGGACUUUUAACUCUUCUACUGUAUGGCUUCUUGAUUUCUCUUGUCCAAUGUGGACCAACUCUCUAUUUUUGGAAAUAAAUAAGCAUGUAAAUAAAAUGAAUGGGUUUAUGCCACUUACAAGAAAAUGCUUCAUUUCAAAUAUUCACUCAGCCUUGUAUAUUUUAUGGUAUCUCACGGUGCGGACAACCCAUCACAGCCUAGAGGCUGAGGCACAAGCAGCCUUUGCGGUGAGAUACCAUAUGAUGUGAAGUCAUUGCCAGGUGGUGUCAGCCAGACAGACACUGUAGGGCUGUGGGGCGAACGGCAGUCUUGUGGAGGAGGGGGGCCUGGAAAGCAGUGCGUAGUUUGAGAGGAGCAAAGAAAAGAGACCUGGCUUUGUGGUGCACAUGUGGCUUCUGGUUUGAGGUGUCCGUGUCCCUGUCCCUACUGCCGGCAAGUGCAGGGUGCCCGGGGCCAGCCCUCGGUCUCUGCCCGCAGCACGUCCCGCUGGCGCGUGGAGAGCGGGAGCACGACUUUUUUUCUUCUCCAUAUAAACCAAUAUUUACCAGUAAUCCUGUGUUUCUGUUUUUGUUUUUUGGCAGACUUUUACCAGUAAAUAUCGGUUUAUUCCUGAAAUCAGAAGCCCUAAACAUACCUUUGUUUAUAAGUUUUCCUACUCUGCAACUCUGGAAAUGGAGCCCGCAGGACCUAGAGCCUUCUCUUGGUAACGUAGAUUGAAGUUUACAAAUUAUUAUUUAACACUUUAAAGUCUGCUUUUAAGGACAGCAGUGUUCCCAUCUGCCUGGUACGGGGCUGGUAGAAAUUCCUGCUGAUGCAUGAUGUGGUUCACCUUCCCAGAGCCUGUGGGCAGGUGUCUCACAAAGCAUCUUCAGGUUUGGGCUUGGAAAGUAAUUACUCCAAAAGUAUGUGUUACAAAAUGGCAUUUCAGUUUUACAGUGAACAGGAUGGGGGGAGUGGAGGGUGGGAACUGAGAAUGGAUAUGUCUUUUUCUGAUUUUUUAUUUUUAUUUUAUUUUUUCUCUAUAUUCUGCUAGAAAGCAAGGCUUCUGUUUUGGAAAAGAAGCGUGAAGUGGGGAGGAGGGAGAGAAUUUGAGCAUUGCCCAUCCUAAAAUAGUUUUAACACUUCCUCCGAGGCUGAUGGAAAAGGCAGGUGAAAGGUCUGAUCCUUAAAAGGACAUUGCUAGGUAUUUGGGAUUCCAAAAGCAGCUGGUGCUUCUUAAUGACUGCAAUUGAUUUAGGUAAUUUGCAAAAUUUGGUCUAUACUAAGACAAAUCAGCUUGGGAGAAUUGAAGACUCCCUUUUUUUUCUAAGAGUUUGCAACCCAAAUGCUGCAAUACUGUGCUAAUACUUGUGAAACAGCAAAGCUGGCAAGGAAUAGAAAAUGAGUUGACUACAUGGUCCCAGCCAAAUUUUUUUUCUUUUGAACAAACAAAAUGAAAAAAUCAUAACCAAAACCACUCCAAGUCAAAAAAUGCAACCUCCAUAGAGUAAGCAGAACAGCAUCUCAAGUGAUUUGAUUUGGUCUUGUCAUGCAUGACUGGCAAGAGCAUUUCUGGUAUAGCUGCAACCUAACUAUGUCCCUUUAAGACUAACUUAAUCGCAGUGAAACAAAAGACAAAGUUUUGCACUGUAGAGCAGAUCAAAGUUCCUGCAGCCUUAGUUGGAGUCCAUAAUGACGGCAGUCUUCCAGCUGUACACUCUGAGCUGAAAACUACCUUUCCUCCCCUUUUGCAGCCUGUGUGGUUCUGAUUGCUGGCAGUUCUCUAAUACAGCUUUAAUCUGAGCAGUUGAGGCUGGUCCCACCUUACCUUCAGACGUCUUGCGGAGGACUCGUUACCAGUUUGGUACCCAAAAGCUACACCCCACGAGAAGUCACUUAUUUUUUAAAAGGCAGUGAUAGAUUACCGUCUCUAGUUCUAAUGGAAAAAUUAUAUUGCAAUGCAACUUUAUAAUAAAUUGUUCAUAUAUUCAUAAUUCUGUGGCAAUCCCAAAUUGGAGGAUGGAUCUGUUAAAGGUAUAUAUUAGUCUAGAUUUUUUUCUUAUUGUAAAUACUGUAAUUUUAUAAUACUGUCAAUAUUUUAUUAACUUAGAAAUAUUUAACAGAGAUCAAUCUAUUGUAGUUGAUUUAUUUAUAAGUUUAUGUUGCAGCCAAUAUUGAACUGCAUUCUAAUGUAAGAUUAACUUUCAGCAUGUAAACACUGAUUUAAUCUAUCAUUGGAAAGAUUAAAAAUACAGAAAAUUUUCACUCUUAAUCUGUAAUAUUUAUCCCCCAAUCACCAAUUCAGAGUUUUUAAUGAAACAGUACGAUUUCAAAAGCUCAUGAACUGUAGUUGGAUCAUGUCAUUUGAAAACUUGAAUUUUGAAAUGUACCUGGCUUUUUUACCCUGUUGGUAGUGAAUAAGAUUGUUUCAGUAUCUAAACUUUAAAGUACAGAAGUCUUUAUUUUGAGCAAAGGGGCACUCUCAGAUUAACAUUAGGUUCCUGUUUUAAGGGGAAAAAAAAAAAAA
This is a non-coding RNA of Meleagris gallopavo (turkey), 6044 nucleotides long. The record is from RefSeq and is a predicted model, not a curated record. Lineage: Eukaryota; Metazoa; Chordata; Aves; Galliformes; Phasianidae.